RNAcentral lists this ribosomal RNA (435 nucleotides) under uncultured Oscillospiraceae bacterium. RNAcentral describes it as "bacterial SSU rRNA". It matches the Rfam family "Bacterial small subunit ribosomal RNA", at positions 341 to 792 of the family's 1533-position model. Lineage: Bacteria; Bacillati; Bacillota; Clostridia; Eubacteriales; Oscillospiraceae. The record is from RNAcentral.
ACGGGAGGCAGCAGUGGGGGAUAUUGCACAAUGGGGGAAACCCUGAUGCAGCAAUACCGCGUGAGGGACGAAGGCUUUAGGGUUGUAAACCUCUGUCCAAAGGGACGAAUUUUGACGGUACCUUUGAAGAAAGCUCCGGCUAACUACGUGCCAGCAGCCGCGGUAAUACGUAGGGAGCAAGCGUUGUCCGGAUUUACUGGGUGUAAAGGGUGCGUAGGUGGUUUUGUGGGUCAGGCGUGAAAUUUAAGAGCUUAACUUUUGAACUGCGUUUGAAACUACAAAACUUGAGCUGAGUAGGGGCAGAUGGAAUUCCCGGUGUAGCGGUGAAAUGCGUAGAGAUCGGGAGGAACACCAGUGGCGAAGGCGAUCUGCUGGACUUUUGCUGACACUGAGGCACGAAAGCGUGGGUAGCAAACAGGAUUAGAUACCCUGGUA